Molecule: ribosomal RNA, 449 nt
Filed under: uncultured bacterium
Lineage: Bacteria
Description: bacterial SSU rRNA
Rfam family: Bacterial small subunit ribosomal RNA
Source: RNAcentral
GGGGGCUGCGGCCGAUUAGCUAGUUGGUGAGGUAACGGCUCACCAAGGCGAUGAUCGGUAGCCGGCCUGAGAGGGCGCACGGCCACACUGGCACUGAAACACGGGCCAGACUCCUACGGGAGGCAGCAGUGGGGAAUUUUGCACAAUGCCCGAAAGGGUGAUGCAGCAACGCCGCGUGAGGGAUGAAGGCCUUCGGGUCGUAAACCUCUUUCGACCGGGAAAAAUGGGCUGGUGAAGAGCCAGUUCUGAUGGUACUGGUGGAAGAAGCCCCGGCUAACUACGUGCCAGCAGCCGCGGUAAUACGUAGGGGGCGAGCGUUGUUCGGAAUUACUGGGCGUAAAGGGCGUGUAGGCGGUGCGGUAAGUUGGGCGUGAAAUCCCCGAGCUUAACUCGGGUGGGCCGUUCAAGACUGCCGUGCUAGGGUGCGGGAGAGGGAAGUGGAAUUUCCG